UAGGUGGCAAGCGUUGUCCGGAUUUAUUGGGCGUAAAGCGAGCGCAGGCGGUCCAAUAAGUCAGAUGUGAAAAACCUCGGCUCAACCCGAGAAUUGCAUCAGAAACUGUUGAACUUGAGUGCAGAAGAGGAGAGUGGAACUCCAUGUGUAGCGGUGGAAUGCGUAGAUAUAUGGAAGAACACCAGUGGCGAAGGCGGCUCUCUGGUCUGCAACUGACGCUGAGGCUCGAAAGCAUGGGUAGCGAA
This 245-nucleotide ribosomal RNA is filed under the name uncultured bacterium. RNAcentral's name for it is "partial 16S ribosomal RNA". It matches the Rfam family "Bacterial small subunit ribosomal RNA", at positions 528 to 772 of the family's 1533-position model. The record is from RNAcentral.